RNAcentral lists this ribosomal RNA (1554 nucleotides) under Triticum aestivum (bread wheat). RNAcentral's name for it is "partial small subunit ribosomal RNA". Lineage: Eukaryota; Viridiplantae; Streptophyta; Magnoliopsida; Poales; Poaceae. The record is from RNAcentral.
AUGGUUAUUGACAGCGAAUCGUGUUCUGCCUCUUUUCUUACUACUGGAAGUUUGUUUGGAUCAUUAGAUCCAGAACUCUGGAGCAAAAUCAAAGUGCGCCUUCCAAAUGACGAAGUGGUCCAUGGGUGGCUGGACUAUUAUAUGUCCAAAAACAAUAUCGCUGUUGUCACCACAGAUUCAUUGCUGGUGCCCUACUUUCAUCUUCGCGUAGCAUGUCUCGACAAUAACGUGCGAGUUGAGUCAGCUGCUGGCGUAUUAGCUGUAAGGCGGUACUUUGACUCAGGCAAAUUAGUGUACACCGGAGGGUCACUGACUGGUGGAAUUCAGAACAAAGAGCUUAAUUCAUCACUCACUGGUGGAAUUCAAAACAAAGAGCUUAAUUUUUCCACAUGCAAAAUCAAUGAGGUUGCCAGUGGAGGACCACUUGUUGAUCGUGAUGGGAAUAUUGUCGGCAUGAACUACUAUGGUGGGGAAACAACUCCAUUCCUACCAAGUAAUCUAAUUGUUGAACAGUUGGGGCCUGAAAUAUAUCGGGCUUCAAGUAAACAGGAUCAUUGCUGUACAAAUGAGAUACAAGAAUCUUCCACACCUUGUAGCAAUGACCCAAAAGAACUCACUGACAAUGAACUUGAAUGCAUACUUGCUCCCUGGAUUGCCUCUCCUGGGAAAUUUGAUGAAUUUGAAGUUAGAGCAAAUGAGAUGUUAAGGACUGCUGGUUAUCCCUUGCCAAAGUUUGCUGAUGAUGGCAUGUACUUGAAAGGGACUUUCGACGAUGAAUUUGGCAGAGAGAAUUGGAGUGAACGCACUAGGAGAGUUGCUUCAAAGAUGUCUCGAAGUGUUGUGGCACUUGCUUCAUUCAUUGUAGAAUCUGAUUCUGCUGAGGAACUCAAGAAAAGAAGAAAACAUUUUGCUUGCUCAGGUGUAUUUAUAGAAUGCGAUGGAUCCACUACAAGUGUACUGACUUCAGCAAGUUUGGUUAGAACUUCUGGUGAAGAAAGCAACAUUCAUCCUAAAUUGGAGAUUGAAGUGUGUCUUCCAAGUAAACGUCGUGUGGUUGGGACACUGCAACAUUGUGAUUUACACUACAAUGUGGCUGUUGUAAGCAUCAUGGGUGUCUGCAGUCAUCGCGCAGCAAAACUUGAUGAAGUGUCUCAAACUGAGGUAGUAGCUCUGGGACGUGGUUUUAUGUCAGGCAUGUUAAUGGCCACAAAUGGGGCUGUGACUGGCAAAUGUAGUAAAUUUGAUUGCAAGGAGCUUUGGGUGUCCACUUGUAAAAUCAGCAAGGCUGGGAUUGGAGGGCCCCUUGUUGAUUUUGAUGGGAAUUUUGUUGGCAUGAACUUUUAUGACAUGGAAAAAACUCCUUACAUAACAAGGGAUAUAAUCCUGAGACUCAUGAAGCGUUUUGAUGCAGAACGGACUAUAGAUGAUGCUGAUGUUGUCCGGACUGCAGACAAGUCUAAAAUUCUGAGUUGGCCUGUGCCUGAGGCGUACUGGGUUUAUCCGUCUCGUUACCCCCCCGAGCCUCCUUGCUUGGCAGGAGAAGUGGACGAGUAA